AAUAAGAUCACUUUUUAGUUUUUUAAUAUAAUAUUUUGACUUUUCGUCUUAUUUGAAUUUUUUUGCGGUUAAUAUUUUUAUUGUCACUAGAUGAUAAAAUAGGAAUAGUACUUUAUGUGUGACUAUUUUUUUAAGUUUUUUAAUAAAUUUUUCAAAUAAGACGAACGGUUAAAUAUUGGACACGAAAAAACA
Molecule: microRNA precursor, 192 nt
Filed under: Oryza brachyantha (malo sina)
Lineage: Eukaryota; Viridiplantae; Streptophyta; Magnoliopsida; Poales; Poaceae
Description: MIR812 microRNA precursor family
Rfam family: MIR812 microRNA precursor family
Source: Rfam by way of RNAcentral